Molecule: ribosomal RNA, 506 nt
Filed under: uncultured bacterium
Lineage: Bacteria
Description: partial 16S ribosomal RNA
Rfam family: Bacterial small subunit ribosomal RNA
Source: RNAcentral
AGUGAACGCUGGCGGUAGGCCUAACACAUGCAAGUCGAACGGCAGCACAGGAGAGCUUGCUCUCUGGGUGGCGAGUGGCGGACGGGUGAGGAAUACAUCGGAAUCUACUCUGUCGUGGGGGAUAACGUAGGGAAACUUACGCUAAUACCGCAUACGACCUACGGGUGAAAGCAGGGGACCUUCGGGCCUUGCGCGAUUGAAUGAGCCGAUGUCGGAUUAGCUAGUUGGCGGGGUAAAGGCCCACCAAGGCGACGAUCCGUAGCUGGUCUGAGAGGAUGAUCAGCCACAUUGGAACUGAGACACGGUCCAGACUCCUACGGGAGGCAGCAGUGGGGAAUAUUGGACAAUGGGCGCAAGCCUGAUCCAGCCAUACCGCGUGGGUGAAGAAGGCCUUCGGGUUGUAAAGCCCUUUUGUCGGGAAAGAAAUCCAGCUGGCUAAUACCCGGUUGGGAUGACGGUACCCAAAGAAUAAGCACCGGCUAACUUCGUGCCAGCAGCCGCGGUAA